GACGGAGGAUGCAAGCGUUAUCCGGAAUUAUUGGGCGUAAAGCGUCCGCAGGUGGUAGUUUAAGUCUGCUGUCAAAGACCGGGGCUUAACUUCGGAAAGGCAGUGGAAACUGAACAGCUAGAGUAUGGUAGGGGCAGAGGGAAUUCCUGGUGUAGCGGUGAAAUGCGUAGAGAUCAGGAAGAACACCGAUGGCGAAGGCGGUCUGCUGGACCAUAACUGACGCUCAGGGACGAAAGCGAGGGGAGCGAAUGGG
Molecule: ribosomal RNA, 253 nt
Filed under: uncultured bacterium
Lineage: Bacteria
Description: partial 16S ribosomal RNA
Rfam family: Bacterial small subunit ribosomal RNA
Source: RNAcentral